This 338-nucleotide ribosomal RNA is filed under the name uncultured bacterium. RNAcentral describes it as "bacterial SSU rRNA". It matches the Rfam family "Bacterial small subunit ribosomal RNA", at positions 28 to 363 of the family's 1533-position model. The record is from RNAcentral.
GACGAACGCUGGCGGCGUGCUUAACACAUGCAAGUCGAACGGAAAGGCCCUGCUUUUGUGGGGUGCUCGAGUGGCGAACGGGUGAGUAACACGUGAGUAACCUGCCCUUGACUUUGGGAUAACUUCAGGAAACUGGGGCGUAAUACCGGAUAGGAGCUCCUGCUGCAUGGUGGGGGUUGGAAAGUUUCGGCGGUUGGGGAUGGACUCGCGGCUUAUCAGCUUGUUGGUGGGGUAGUGGCUUACCAAGGCUUUGACGGGUAGCCGGCCUGAGAGGGUGACCGGCCACAUUGGGACUGAGAUACGGCCCAGACUCCUACGGGAGGCAGCAGUGGGGAAGU